UCCCCCGUGGUGUAACUGGCAGCACCUUUGAUUUUGGUUCAAAUAGACCAGGUUCGAAUCCUGGCGGGGGAG
This 72-nucleotide transfer RNA is filed under the name Pseudonocardiaceae bacterium YIM PH 21723. It matches the Rfam family "tRNA". From Rfam's summary of the family: Transfer RNA (tRNA) molecules are approximately 80 nucleotides in length. The record is from Rfam by way of RNAcentral. Lineage: Bacteria; Bacillati; Actinomycetota; Actinomycetes; Pseudonocardiales; Pseudonocardiaceae.